UUGGACAGAAAGACCCUAUGAAGCUUGACUGUAGCUUGGAAUUGGGUUCGGGCUCUUCUUGCGCAGCCUAGGUGGGAGGCAUUGAAUGUGAACUUUUGGGUUCACUGGAGCCAUACGUGAGAGACCACUCUGGAAGAGCUAGAAUUCUAAUGGCGUUCCUUGAAGCAGGACGCUUGACAGUUUCAGGUGGGCAGUUUGACUGGGGCGGUCAUCUCCUAAAAGGUAACGGAGAUGUGCAAAGGUUCCCUCAGGCUGGACGGAAAUCAGCCGUAGAGUGUAAAGGCAGAAGGGAGCUUGACUGCAAGACCUACAAGUCGAGCAGGGGCGAAAGCCGGCCUUAGUGAUCCGACGGUUCCGUGUGGAAGGGCCGUCGCUCAACGGAUAAAAGUU
RNAcentral lists this ribosomal RNA (390 nucleotides) under uncultured organism. RNAcentral's name for it is "partial 23S ribosomal RNA". It matches the Rfam family "Bacterial large subunit ribosomal RNA", at positions 2076 to 2464 of the family's 2925-position model. The record is from RNAcentral.